Molecule: small nuclear RNA, 103 nt
Filed under: Notamacropus eugenii (tammar wallaby)
Lineage: Eukaryota; Metazoa; Chordata; Mammalia; Diprotodontia; Macropodidae
Source: RNAcentral
UUGCUUUGGCUGCACAUAUACUAAAAUUGGGAUGAUACAGAGAAGAUUAGAAUGGCCCCUACAUACAAAUGACACACAGAUUCAUGAAGUAUUCCAUGUUUUU